This 429-nucleotide ribosomal RNA is filed under the name Chloroflexota bacterium. Its description in RNAcentral is "Chloroflexi bacterium partial 16S ribosomal RNA". It matches the Rfam family "Bacterial small subunit ribosomal RNA", at positions 355 to 776 of the family's 1533-position model. Lineage: Bacteria; Bacillati; Chloroflexota. The record is from RNAcentral.
UGGGGAAUAUUGCACAAUGGGCGCAAGCCUGAUGCAGCCAUGCCGCGUGUGUGAAGAAGGCCUUCGGGUUGUAAAGCACUUUCAGCGGGGAGGAAGGCGAUAAGGUUAAUAACCUUGUCGAUUGACGUUACCCGCAGAAGAAGCACCGGCUAACUCCGUGCCAGCAGCCGCGGUAAUACGGAGGGUGCAAGCGUUAAUCGGAAUUACUGGGCGUAAAGCGCACGCAGGCGGUCUGUCAAGUCGGAUGUGAAAUCCCCGGGCUUAACCUGGGAACUGCAUUCUAAACUGGCAGGCUAGAGUCUUGUAGAGGGGGGUAGAAUUCCAGGUGUAGCGGUGAAAUGCGUAGAGAUCUGGAGGAAUACCGGUGGCGAAGGCGGCCCCCUGGACAAAGACUGACGCUCAGGUGCGAAAGCGUGGGGAGCAAACAGG